CAGAGAGCCUCUCUUGGGCCUCUUCAGGUCAGGGGGCUGUGACACACCCAAGCACAGGUCACUGCAAAACCUCUUGGGCAGACUCGCUGUCAAGGUGCUGGGCAUCGCCAGGUUUUCUGGUCAACCCCACUCAUGCAGGCACAUUUAACAUCACUCAUGACCAGGAAUCCAUUAUGUAGAAAAGCUUAACCUGGGGCACUUGGCAGUGAAUUCCUCUUACCAUCCCCAAAUAUGAGCCUGCAGAGCAUUUGGGAACCCUUGGGUCUUCCUUCUCUCAGUCACUGAGUGGUCACUAGGAUUCUCCCUCCCCAGGCAAUCAAGCCCUCAAUCCCUCCCCAUAGAUGUUUGAUGGGAAAGCCUUCUUUUUCUCUCAUCUCUAUCUUUCCUGAGGCUCCAUCUGAUGGCAGAAUUUGAGCGUGUGUAUAUGCAUUUUUAAAAUCAAGUUACUAAGAUUAUACUUUGCAUACAAUAAAGUGUACCCAUUUUAAGUAUAUAAUUUGAUGAGUUUUGAGAAAUGUGUAUACACAUGUAACCACUACCACUAUCUUUUUAUAGGCUCUUUGUAUCACCCACAAAGAGUCCCGGGUGUGCCUUCCUAGUCUAUCCCAACCCCACCCUCGACCAUCCCCAGGCAUCCAUUGAUCUGCUUUCCAUCACUAGAGAUGAGAUCAGUAUUAGAAAAGAGAUUAGGUCAUUAUCUUUUGAAGAGAAAUUAUUUCCUGCUGCUAGCCAGCUCUCAUCAGAGCAAUAUAAAGUAAACUGUAUUUUGGGUUUUGUUUUUACAAAAGAAAUAGAAAAAUGCCCAACUGUGAGAAUCAUUUCUUCCACUUCCCACCUUGAAGCGAUGAGACUUGCAGGGCAAAAUUCUACUCAAUGUGAGUUGGGUUUGCUCUACCAAUUCCAUCUGUAAUAAUAUCUGCUGAAGAGAAAUGCUUUCUUUUAAAAUAACAAGAAGAAAACCUCUUAAUCCUUUCAAAGAAAACAGCAACAACAGAAAAGCCCAUAGAAAGUAAGUCCCUUCAUCUAACUUUGAAUCAGCAAACAUUGUACUUGAGUGGAUCCACCCACUCCUGCCAAGCCUCUCUCACAUCCCAGCUUCUGCCUCCCAGCUCCACCCAGUGAACAGUUCUAGAAGCUUAGGGAGCUUGAGUGUGUAUACUAGAAAAAAACCACAGGAAUAAAAAGUGCCUAUACUGAUAAAGGUAUGUUUAGUCCAUAAACAACAGGACAACUCAGAAACAUGCCUACACCAGAGAAACAGCUUACAGUUUGCAUUCAAGAUCAAGAAUGCUUAUACAUUGGUAUUUCACUGACCUCAUGACUGCGAUCUGCUUCUCUGCUCUUCUGAAAAGCCGGGAUCCAAGCCGAUUUGCUCUUCGGAAAUCUUUCCAGUCUGGCUCAAGAUUCUAACACUUCCAUGCUUCUGGUCUUAGUGGAAGCAGAUUGUGCAAGUCAGUUGACCAGAGGUGGGACGAAAGAUGAAAGUGGAGCGUGACUCAAGGUUGGCUGCCCCAGGGACUGUGUUUGAGCCCUAUGGAAAAAGGGGCUACUAGCAGAGGCUGAUGAAUCUUUCACUGAGGACUCUGAGGCUGAGGAGUAAUUAGUAGUACUUGGAACACAGACAGGAAUGAGAGAAAUGUUCCUCCCGCCUUCAUGGGCACUGAGACACUUGAGAACAUUUUUGGCAGGGAUAUCAGUACUCUGAAGGUGGCAGUCAAAUACAGAGAAUGAUGAGAUGUGUUGAAGCAGUUUUGAGGACAGAGGACAUUGAUGGGUGUGGGUGCUGGAGCAAUACCCAUAGCAGAUGUGAUUAGAUGAUUCUGACGGACUUGUUCAUCAACACCGAGGAGACACCUACUGGGGGCUUGUUAUCUACCUGGGUGAGGAUAUGAGGGGAGUCAAACGUCCUGCACUGGGAGGUGUGGUUAAGAGCCAGGGAAUUCAAGUCAUUCCAAUUGAUGUGGCUCAUUUCUUAUCCCUGAUAAUGAGAUUUCAGGAAACAUGAGCUACGCUCAUAAUUUUCCUUAUUGUUUUUCAGUCAUUUCUGUUAGCUUUAAGUCUUCAAUUAAAUAUCAAGUAUAAUAUGUCA
Equus caballus (horse) is the source of this 2089-nucleotide non-coding RNA. Lineage: Eukaryota; Metazoa; Chordata; Mammalia; Perissodactyla; Equidae. The record is from RefSeq and is a predicted model, not a curated record.